GAUGAACGCUAGCUACAGGCUUAACACAUGCAAGUCGAGGGGCAGCAUGGUCUUAGCUUGCUAAGGCCGAUGGCGACCGGCGCACGGGUGAGUAACACGUAUCCAACCUGCCGUCUACUCUUGGACAGCCUUCUGAAAGGAAGAUUAAUACAAGAUGGCAUCAUGAGUCCACAUGUUCACAUGAUUAAAGGUAUAUCGGUAGACGAUGGGGAUGCGUUCCAUUAGAUAGUAGGCGGGGUAACGGCCCACCUAGUCUUCGAUGGAUAGGGGUUCUGAGAGGAAGGUCCCCCACAUUGGAACUGAGACACGGUCCAAACUCCUACGGGAGGCAGUAGUGAGGAAUAUUGGUCAAUGGGCGAGAGCCUGAACCAGCCAAGUAGCGUGAAGGAUGACUGCCCUAUGGGUUGUAAACUUCUUUUAUAAAGGAAUAAAGUCGGGUAUGUAUACCCGUUUGCAUGUACUUUAUGAAUAAGGAUCGGCUAACUCCGUGCCAGCCGCCGCAGUAA
This 506-nucleotide ribosomal RNA is filed under the name uncultured bacterium. RNAcentral describes it as "partial 16S ribosomal RNA". It matches the Rfam family "Bacterial small subunit ribosomal RNA", at positions 28 to 523 of the family's 1533-position model. The record is from RNAcentral.